RNAcentral lists this ribosomal RNA (482 nucleotides) under uncultured bacterium. Its description in RNAcentral is "partial 16S ribosomal RNA". It matches the Rfam family "Bacterial small subunit ribosomal RNA", at positions 30 to 507 of the family's 1533-position model. The record is from RNAcentral.
AUUGAACGCUGGCGGCAUGCCUUACACAUGCAAGUCGAACGGUAACGGGCCUUCGGGUGCCGCCGAGUGGCGAACGGGUGAGUAAUACAUCGGAACGUGCCCGAUCGUGGGGGAUAACGAGGCGAAAGCUUUGCUAAUACCGCAUACGAUCUACGGAUGAAAGCAGGGGACCGCAAGGCCUUGCGCGGACGGAGCGGCCGAUGGCAGAUUAGGUAGGUGGUGGGAUAAAAGCUUACCAAGCCGACGAUCUGUAGCUGGUCUGAGAGGAUGAUCAGCCACACUGGGACUGAGACACGGCCCAGACUCCUACGGGAGGCAGCAGUGGGGAAUUUUGGACAAUGGGCGCAAGCCUGAUCCAGCCAUGCCGCGUGCAGGAUGAAGGCCUUCUGGUUGUAAACUGCUUUUGUACGGAACGAAAAGCCUUCUUUUAAUACAGGAGGGUCAUGACGGUACCGUAAGAAUAAGCACCGGCUAACUACGUG